GCCAGGCGUGGUGGCACACGCCUGUUAUCCCAAGUAACUCAGGAGGCUGAAGCAGGAGGAUCACAAAUUCAAAGCCAGCCUCAGCAAUUAAACAACUCAGUGAGACCCUGUCUCUA
Molecule: small RNA, 116 nt
Filed under: Marmota monax (woodchuck)
Lineage: Eukaryota; Metazoa; Chordata; Mammalia; Rodentia; Sciuridae
Source: RNAcentral